AGAGUUUGAUCCUGGCUCAGGAUGAACGCUAGCUACAGGCUUAACACAUGCAAGUCGAGGGGAAACGAUAUUGGAAGCUUGCUUCCGAUAGGCGUCGACCGGCGCACGGGUGAGUAACGCGUAUCCAACCUGCCCACCACUUGGGGAUAACCUUGCGAAAGUAAGACUAAUACCCAAUGAUAUCUCUAGAAGACAUCUGAAAGAGAUUAAAGAUUUAUCGGUGAUGGAUGGGGAUGCGUCUGAUUAGCUUGUUGGCGGGGUAACGGCCACCAAGGCGACGAUCAGUAGGGUUCUGAGAGGAAGUCCCCCANAUUGGAACUGAGACACGGUCCAAACUCCUACGGGAGCA
RNAcentral lists this ribosomal RNA (349 nucleotides) under uncultured bacterium. Its description in RNAcentral is "bacterial SSU rRNA". It matches the Rfam family "Bacterial small subunit ribosomal RNA", at positions 8 to 349 of the family's 1533-position model. The record is from RNAcentral.